UUAGUGGCGGACGGGUGAGUAACGCGUGGAAAACCUGCCGUAUACUGGGGGAUAACACUUAGAAAUAGGUGCUAAUACCGCAUAAGCGCACAGCUUCGCAUGAAGCGGUGUGAAAAACUCUGGUGGUAUACGAUGGUUCCGCGUCUGAUUAGCUAGUUGGUGGGGUAAUGGCCUACCAAGGCAACGAUCAAUAGCCGGCCUGAGAGGGUGAACGGCCACAUUGGGACUGAGACACGGCCCAAACUCCUACGGGAGGCAGCAG
RNAcentral lists this ribosomal RNA (262 nucleotides) under uncultured bacterium. RNAcentral's name for it is "partial 16S ribosomal RNA". It matches the Rfam family "Bacterial small subunit ribosomal RNA", at positions 92 to 354 of the family's 1533-position model. The record is from RNAcentral.